CCCCUGUGAACUUAUACCUUUACGUUGCUUCGGCGGGACUCGCCCCGGCUGCCCUUCAGCGGCGGACCGGACCCAGGCGCCCGCCGGAGGACCCAAACUCUUCUGUCUCUUAUAGCGGCAUGUCUGAGUGGAUUUUAUACAAAUGAAUCAAAACUUUCAACAACGGAUCUCUUGGUUCUGGCAUCGAUGAAGAACGCAGCGAAAUGCGAUAAGUAAUGUGAAUUGCAGAAUUCAGUGAAUCAUCGAAUCUUUGAACGCACAUUGCGCCCGCCAGUAUUCUGGCGGGCAUGCCUGUUCGAGCGUCAUUUCAACCCUCAAGCCCCCGCGCUUGGUGUUGGGUGCCGGCGUCAGCGUCUCCCUCCAGAGCGCCCGCCGCCCCCGAAAUUGAUUGGCGGCCUCGUCGCAGCCUCCCUUGCGUAGUAACAUACCACCUCGCAUGGCGGAGCGCGGCGCGGCCACUGCCGUAAAACACCCCAAUUUCUCAGAGUUGACCUCGGAUCAGGUAGGAAUACCCGCUGAACUUAAGCAUAUCAAUAAGCGGAGGAA
RNAcentral lists this ribosomal RNA (546 nucleotides) under Pochonia chlamydosporia. Its description in RNAcentral is "eukaryotic LSU rRNA". The stretch from base 152 to 305 matches the Rfam family "5.8S ribosomal RNA". Lineage: Eukaryota; Fungi; Ascomycota; Sordariomycetes; Hypocreales; Clavicipitaceae. The record is from RNAcentral.